GAUUAACGCUGGCGGCGUGCCUAAUACAUGCAAGUCGAGCGAAUGGAUUAAGAGCUUGCUCUUAUGAAGUUAGCGGCGGACGGGUGAGUAACACGUGGGUAACCUGCCCAUAAGACUGGGAUAACUCCGGGAAACCGGGGCUAAUACCGGAUAAUAUUUUGAACUGCAUGGUUCAAAAUUGAAAGGCGGCUUCGGCUGUCACUUAUGGAUGGACCCGCGUCGCAUUAGCUAGUUGGUGAGGUAACGGCUCACCAAGGCAACGAUGCGUAGCCGACCUGGGAGGGUGGUCGGCCAAACUGGGACUGAGACACGGCCCAGACUCCUACGGGAGGCAGCAGUAGGGAAUCUUCCGCAAUGGACGAAAGUCUGACGGAGCAACGCCGCGUGAGUGAUGAAGGCUUUCGGGUCGUAAAACUCUGUUGUUAGGGAAGAACAAGUGCUAGUUGAAUAAGCUGGCACCUUGACGGUACCUAACCAGAAAGCCACGGCUAACUACGUGCCAGCAGCCGCCGUAA
This 515-nucleotide ribosomal RNA is filed under the name uncultured bacterium. RNAcentral describes it as "partial 16S ribosomal RNA". It matches the Rfam family "Bacterial small subunit ribosomal RNA", at positions 28 to 523 of the family's 1533-position model. The record is from RNAcentral.